UAAGGUAAUCCUUGCUGAUGG
Molecule: non-coding RNA, 21 nt
Filed under: Arabidopsis thaliana (thale cress)
Lineage: Eukaryota; Viridiplantae; Streptophyta; Magnoliopsida; Brassicales; Brassicaceae
Source: RNAcentral